UACGUAGGGCGCGAGCGUUGUCCGGAAUUAUUGGGCGUAAAGGGCUCGUAGGCGGUUUGUCGCGUCGGGUGUGAAAACCUUGGGCUUAACUCAGGGCUUGCUUUCGAUACGGGCAGACUAGAGGUAUGGAGGGGAGAACGGAAUUCCUGGUGUAGCGGUGAAAUGCGCAGAUAUCAGGAGGAACACCGGUGGCGAAGGCGGUUCUCUGGGCAUGAUCUGACGCUGAGGAACGAAAGUGUGGGGAGCGAACGGG
RNAcentral lists this ribosomal RNA (253 nucleotides) under uncultured bacterium. RNAcentral's name for it is "partial 16S ribosomal RNA". It matches the Rfam family "Bacterial small subunit ribosomal RNA", at positions 524 to 776 of the family's 1533-position model. The record is from RNAcentral.